UUGACCGUGCAAAGGUAGCAUAAUCAUUAGUCUAUUAAUUGUGGACUUGUAUGAAUGGUUGGACGAAAUAUUAGCUGUCUCUAUUUUAUUAUUAGAAUUUGAAUUUUGAGUUAAAAUGCUUAAAUUUAUUUAUAGGACGAGAAGACCCUAUAGAUCUUUAUUAUUAUUAUUUAAUAGUUUUUAGAAUUUAAAUAUUUUAUUAUUAAUUUAUUAAUUAUUUUGUUGGGGUGACAUAAGGAUAAUUAUAUAACUCCUUAUUAUAUUAUACAUUGAUUUAUGAUUAUUUGACCUUUUAUUAUUGUUAUAAGAUUUAGAUACCUUAGGGAUAACAGCGUAAUUCUUUUUGAGAGUUCAUAUCGACAAAGGAGAUUGCGACCUCGAUGUUGGAUUAAGAUUAUAGUUAGGUGUAGGUGCUUAAAUAUUUAGGUCUGUUCGACCUUUAAAUUCUUACAUGAUCUGAGUUCAAACCGGAG
This 473-nucleotide ribosomal RNA is filed under the name Lobofemora scheirei. Its description in RNAcentral is "partial 16S ribosomal RNA". It matches the Rfam family "Bacterial large subunit ribosomal RNA", at positions 1942 to 2621 of the family's 2925-position model. Lineage: Eukaryota; Metazoa; Arthropoda; Insecta; Phasmatodea; Phasmatidae. The record is from RNAcentral.